Long non-coding RNA from Hemicordylus capensis (graceful crag lizard), 751 nucleotides. RefSeq lists it as uncharacterized. The transcript has 3 exons. Lineage: Eukaryota; Metazoa; Chordata; Lepidosauria; Squamata; Cordylidae. The record is from RefSeq and is a predicted model, not a curated record.
AGCGGCGGCAGCCAUAGCCUGGCUGGGCGGCUGCGGAGGCAAGGCGGCGGGCCAGGCAGCGGCAGGCCCCAGCCCGGCCGCAGAUGUGAGGCGGCGGGGGCGGCCCGCCCCGCCCCGCCCCGACAGCGCGGUGAUGGUGUCCAUUGAGAACAUGAUACACUAGAGCCUGAAGCCCAGUCAACAUAGGCAGCAGAAUGAGAUGGCAGAAUGUAGAGGUCCUACAAACUACAUCACUCCAGCUUAAAGUUUUUACUGCUUCAGUGGAGCAAAGACAGCAUAAAAUGAAGAUAUUAAAAAAAUGAAGAGUGCAAGAAAUUCCAUAUGAAAUUAAGAAACUACAGAGCGGGAGUUAGAUGAAACCAGACGGAUGUGUUUAUUGAAAGACAAUAGUUAAUAAUUGUGUUUCAAGUCUGUCUUGUAUGCAUUCGUCAGUUCAUGUUAAACUCUUUGAAUCAGCUCUAGUACUUGGCUAAAAGUGUGUCUAAAAUAAAAGGAUCCUUUCAUUUUAGGCCAGAAUUAAUUGCUCUAAAGUUGGCUUCUCUAUUAAUUCUUGGAACAUGACUGGCAUAUAGAACUGUUUGGUGUAAUAGGUUGCUGUCGCUUUAAGAAGUACUUCCUGGUUGUGGGUUUUCUGAUUAGACUGUAAGCUGUGAUUCAGCCAUUUGGCAGAGAGCGGCAGGCUAUUGGUUGUGUGUCUUCCUGUUCUGUUUUGUUCUUGUCUGGUCUCCAAAUAAAAGUUGUUGAGACCUAA